Molecule: ribosomal RNA, 647 nt
Filed under: Acinetobacter baumannii OIFC137
Lineage: Bacteria; Pseudomonadati; Pseudomonadota; Gammaproteobacteria; Moraxellales; Moraxellaceae
Description: bacterial SSU rRNA
Rfam family: Bacterial small subunit ribosomal RNA
Source: RNAcentral
AUUGAACGCUGGCGGCAGGCUUAACACAUGCAAGUCGAGCGGGGGAAGGUAGCUUGCUACCGGACCUAGCGGCGGACGGGUGAGUAAUGCUUAGGAAUCUGCCUAUUAGUGGGGGACAACAUCUCGAAAGGGAUGCUAAUACCGCAUACGUCCUACGGGAGAAAGCAGGGGAUCUUCGGACCUUGCGCUAAUAGAUGAGCCUAAGUCGGAUUACCUAGUUGGUGGGGUAAAGGCCUACCAAGGCGACGAUCUGUAGCGGGUCUGAGAGGAUGAUCCGCCACACUGGGACUGAGACACGGCCCAGACUCCUACGGGAGGCAGCAGUGGGGAAUAUUGGACAAUGGGGGGAACCCUGAUCCAGCCAUGCCGCGUGUGUGAAGAAGGCCUUAUGGUUGUAAAGCACUUUAAGCGAGGAGGAGGCUACUUUAGUUAAUACCUAGAGAUAGUGGACGUUACUCGCAGAAUAAGCACCGGCUAACUCUGUGCCAGCAGCCGCGGUAAUACAGAGGGUGCGAGCGUUAAUCGGAUUUACUGGGCGUAAAGCGUGCGUAGGCGGCUUAUUAAGUCGGAUGUGAAAUCCCCGAGCUUAACUUGGGAAUUGCAUUCGAUACUGGUGAGCUAGAGUAUGGGAGAGGAUGGUAGAAUUC